This 275-nucleotide ribosomal RNA is filed under the name uncultured bacterium. RNAcentral describes it as "partial 16S ribosomal RNA". It matches the Rfam family "Bacterial small subunit ribosomal RNA", at positions 523 to 796 of the family's 1533-position model. The record is from RNAcentral.
AUACGUAGGGGCCAAACGUUGUCCGGAUUUAUUGGGCGUAAAGGGCUCGUAGGCGGUUCAACAAGUCGAUCGUGAAAGCCCGGGGCUCAACCCCGGGACGCCGGUCGAAACUGUUGUGACUAGGGUCCUGUAGAGGUGAGUGGAAUUCUCGGUGUAGCGGUGGAAUGCGCAGAUAUCGAGAGGAACACCAGUUGCGAAGGCGGCUCACUGGGCCGGUACCGACGCUAAGGAGCGAAAGCGUGGGGAGCAAACAGAAUUAGAUACCCGGGUAGUCC